ACAAUUUUUGACGAGGAAAAUGGAACUCAUCUUAGCAGAUAUGUUAAAAGGAGAUUGGCCAAAAAGAAUUCAAAAGUAGACACGGGGGAGAUGCAGGAUAAUGAAGAAAUAAUGAAGUCUUCGGAACUUACGACAGAAUUAGGAUUGUACAGUCUAAAUGGUGGUCCCUCCAACCUUUUAACAACCAUUGAUGAAGUAGAAAAUAUAGACAACAAUUUUGAAAUAACGUCAACUGAUGAGGAAGUUAUUUGUGUUAAUAGCAUUUUCUUUAAUCACGUAUCAAUAAAUUUAUUUAUAUAUCUUAUGUUUGAAUAAAUAGAUAAUAGAGAUAAAUGAAUCUACGGAGGAUGAAAACUGUAGCUAUUAUUGUGAAUCUACAUCAUCACAAACUGAAACAGAAACUGAGGAUGAACUUUACAUCCACCGUGAAAACUUUUGCCAACCAUCACAAUACUUGCCUCUUUUCAACUUGGGGUUUUAUUUCAAGAAUAACCUUUCUAAGAAGGCUUUUCAUCAAAGUUUGAAAUUGACGCAAAUUGCUACCCAAGACAGCCAAAAGCAACUACAAAAUCCUGAAUCGUGUUUAAAUGAGUACUCCCACUUGGCAGUCAAUAUUCAAAAACAAUUCAUUUGCCUUCAGAAAGAGUGCAAUCAUAUUCUUGUAAUUGACUCUAAAGGUAUCCCUACAGCUAGACAACCAUGUGGCCAUAAAUUAUCUAAAGAAGACAAGACGUGUUUCAUGCUGAAACUACCAAUCAAACAGCAGUUGCUGCAUUAUCUACAAGAAGGGGACAUGCUAGAUAAUAAAGAUUUUGUGUCGGCAACUAUACCAAAUGAAGGGAUUCGAAAAGACGUCAGUUCUGGUGAUUGCUGUCGUGCCCUAGUAAAGAAUCGACAUAUCACCAAUAGAACAAUGACUGGGAUCUUAAAUAUUGAUGGUGCUGACUUCUUUAAGUCCAGUAAAUUUGGUUUUUGGCCAUGUAUGGCAGUUAUAAACGAAGUACCGUAUAAAAAAAGACGAUCGAAUAUGGUGUUGAUGGCAUUGUGGUACGGAAACAAGAAACGUCCUCGCGAUUCUUUCCUAGAAUUUGCACUUCAAGAUUUACAAUCUCUGGAAUCCGAUCCGAUUGAAUUAAAUGGAAUUAAGUAUUUUUUUGGCCAUUGAUCGUAUCAGUUGAUGCUAUAGCCCGACCGAUAGUGCGCAAUUCCACACAAUUUAAUGGAGAGUUUGGCUGUGAUUGGUGUUUGCAUCCUGGGCAAACUUUUAAAAAGCUGGGGAAGAAGAGGGGCCAUUCUCGUGUUUAUCCAGAACCUUUUACGUUUCCUACUUUUCCCAG
Molecule: long non-coding RNA, 1337 nt
Organism: Daphnia pulex (common water flea)
Lineage: Eukaryota; Metazoa; Arthropoda; Branchiopoda; Diplostraca; Daphniidae
Exons: 3
Source: RefSeq, a predicted model, not a curated record